UACGGGGGGGGCAAGCGUUGUUCGGAAUCACUGGGCGUAAAGGGCGCGUAGGCGGGUUCUUAAGUUAGGUGUUUAAUCCCGGGGCCCAACCCCGGACCGGCACUUAAAACUGGGAAUCUUGAAUAGUGGAGAGGUCGGUGGAAUUGGGGGUGUAGCGGUGGAAUGCGUAGAGAUCCCCAAGAACACCAGUUGCGAAGGCGGCCGACUGGACACAUAUUGACGCUGAGGCUCGAAAGCAUGGGGAGCAAACAGG
RNAcentral lists this ribosomal RNA (253 nucleotides) under uncultured bacterium. Its description in RNAcentral is "partial 16S ribosomal RNA". It matches the Rfam family "Bacterial small subunit ribosomal RNA", at positions 524 to 776 of the family's 1533-position model. The record is from RNAcentral.